RNAcentral lists this ribosomal RNA (232 nucleotides) under uncultured bacterium. Its description in RNAcentral is "partial 16S ribosomal RNA". It matches the Rfam family "Bacterial small subunit ribosomal RNA", at positions 118 to 347 of the family's 1533-position model. The record is from RNAcentral.
UGAGUAACCUGCCCUUCACUCUGGGAUAACUCCGGGGAAACCGGGGCUAAUACUGGAUACGACUCGAACAGGCAUCUGUAUCGGGUGGAAAGAUUUAUUGGUGGAGGAUGGACUCGCGGCCUAUCAGCUUGUUGGUGAGGUAAUGGCUCACCAAGGCGACGACGGGUAGCCGGCCUGAGAGGGCGAUCGGCCACACUGGGACUGAGACACGGCCCAGACUCCUACGGGAGCA